RNAcentral lists this unclassified non-coding RNA (237 nucleotides) under Hevea brasiliensis (rubber tree). Lineage: Eukaryota; Viridiplantae; Streptophyta; Magnoliopsida; Malpighiales; Euphorbiaceae. The record is from RNAcentral.
AUUCACAAGCUCUGAUAACUGAUAAUUGACUUUAAAACGUCCAAGAAGCCGACAGAACUCGUGAUAAUUAUCAUGACAAGCCAGACCUUUCCCAGUUUGCAUAAUGUCUUUGGUUCCUGUCAUCAGGUGUGCCAAGUAUUUCACUCUAGAAGUGUCAUUUGAAAACAGAGAUCUCCUCGCUGAAGCCAGACGGACUAAACACUCUAAAGCCUCCUUCGAUAUGUUUGGCUUAUUGAU